AGCUGCUUAACGUGUACGGUGUCGCCAAAUUCUUGCAAUGGGUGGAAAGGGGAUGUUGAAAAAUGUGGCCACGAGGAAAGCGCUUGAGCAGAGACAGCAAUCCGCGAGCCAAGAACGCAACGCGGCGCAGGCGGGACCGAGUGAUCCUCCAGGAAAUCCGGAACGAGCGCCCGAUCCACCUCCAAACUGCUAGAGCUCACUUCAGCGACUCUGCCUCCUUCCUUCUCGCCGUCACCACCCACCGCCACCCCCUCCGCCUCCCUCCUUCCUUCCUCAGUCUCUUUGCCUUCUUUCAUACACCCUCAAGUUCCCCAAACUCAUUCCUUGCAGGGAUUUCACUGAUCUCAUGCUUUUUCCUCUUCUUGCCUUUUUUUGGUUAAAAAAUAUUCUACUACAGAAUGAAUAAAUAAGAGGUAAGUGUAAAAAAGAGGGAGAAAUAUAUCCUGUAUGGUCAUAAAUUACAACAGUUACAACACGGAUAUUAAAUCUGAAUUUGUUACAUGCGGGAAGACAGGAACACACUGGGAAACGUUUAAUCGGUGAAACAAAAUUGGACCGAACAGUCAUUUUAGGUCGUUAUGUAAAUGAGUGGUAUUAAUUAGUCAUAUGACCAUACAUAGUUUUAUAGGAUAUAAGAGAAAGAAAAUUUGGCAUUACCAAUUUGCUCGUGAGUGAUGAAUGAGGUGGGCGGGUUGAACUAUUGUGGUAUAAGAGGUCGUAAAUUAAUAAUUACAACACGGAUAUUAAAUCUCAAUUUGUUACAUGUGAAAAUACAGGAACAUACGAACAUGAUCUCUUGCUUUUUCCCGUAACAAAGUUUUUUCACUGGCACAUUUUUCUAGUUAGAUUUCACACUUCAUGGAUAGAAGUUUACUUGUUAAACACGAGAUCUUUCUUAAGCACUUCCAAAGUUUCUUGGCCUUUUUUUUUUUUUCAAACACCCCCAACUUCCCUAAUCUCAUGGCGUUUCAUGUCCGGGGAAAAGAUGCUCCAUCUGCCUCGACCCCGUAGACACCAGGCAGUGCGGAGUCGCUGCGCUCUACCAAUCCUUUAUGACAGAGACGACUGCAGCCGCUCUAGGUCCUCGCCAAUACUUGGUGAGGCUGACAGGGUAUCCUUGGGUCACCCCUUGUUCCUGGAAAGAAGACCUUGGGAGAGUUAAGCUGCGUCGCCACUGACAUCGAACUAAAGGGGGGAGGAGGAGGAAGGAGGAGCAAGAGUGCCCUUGGGUCCCCCAGCUCCAGGAAGGAAGACCUUGGGAGAGUUAAGCCGCGUCGCCACUGACAUCGAAUAGAGCCGCGUCGCCACUGACAUCGAACAGAGCCGCGUCGCCACUGACAUCGAACAGAGCCGCGUCGCCACUGACAUCGAACAGAGCCGCGUCGCCACUGACAUCGAACAGAGCCGCGUCGCCACUGACAUCGAACAGAGCCGCGUCGCCACUGACAUCGAACUGAAGGCAGGAGGAGGAGGAAGAAGGAACGCGAGUGUCGGAGCCCCUUAUCCACGGCAGCGAGCGUAGUCCACCUGGCGUCAGCGGGAGGAAACUGCUGCAGAGUGCAAGUGUUUGGAGGGAGACGCGUUCGUGUUUAUACUGUUACAAACGUUAGAAGUGUUUAACAAGUAAACCUCUAUCCAUAUCCGUAUCAAACGAAGAAGUGUUGAAUCUAACUAGAAAAAUGUGCGAGUGAAAAACUUUGUUACAGGAAAAAGCAGAUUAUGUUCGUAUGUUCCUGUAUUCCCACAUGUAACAAAUUCGGAUGCAAUGUCCGUGCUGUAAUGAUUAAUUUACGACCAUACCAUAUAGUUCUCCCUCCCUAUUACA
Molecule: long non-coding RNA, 1825 nt
Organism: Penaeus chinensis
Lineage: Eukaryota; Metazoa; Arthropoda; Malacostraca; Decapoda; Penaeidae
Exons: 3
Source: RefSeq, a predicted model, not a curated record